CCUACGGGUGGCAGCAGUGGGGAAUAUUGCACAAUGGGGGAAACCCUGAUGCAGCGAAGCCGCGUGAGUGAAGAAGUACUUAGUUGUGUAAAGCUCUAUCAGCAGGGAAGAAAAUGACGGUACGUGAGUAAGAAGCCCCGUCUAACUACGUGCCAGCAGCCGCGGUAAUACGGAGGGGGCAAGCGUUAUCCGGAUUUACUGGGUGUAAAGGGAGCGUAGACGGCAUUGCAAGUCUGGAGUGAAAGGCGGGGGCUCAACCCCCGGACUGCUCUGGAAACUGUACGGCUGGAGUGCAGGAGAGGUAAGCGGAAUUCCUAGUGUAGCGGUGAAAUGCGUAGAUAUUAGGAGGAACACCAGUGGCGAAGGCGGCUUACUGGACUGUAACUGACGUUGAUGCUCGAAAGCGUGGGGAGCAAACAGGAUUAGAUACCCGUGUAGUC
This 440-nucleotide ribosomal RNA is filed under the name uncultured bacterium. Its description in RNAcentral is "partial 16S ribosomal RNA". It matches the Rfam family "Bacterial small subunit ribosomal RNA", at positions 338 to 795 of the family's 1533-position model. The record is from RNAcentral.